Molecule: small RNA, 172 nt
Filed under: Paenibacillus selenitireducens
Lineage: Bacteria; Bacillati; Bacillota; Bacilli; Caryophanales; Paenibacillaceae
Description: c-di-AMP sequence
Rfam family: c-di-AMP riboswitch aptamer (ydaO/yuaA leader)
About the family: This family represents a conserved RNA structure found upstream of the ydaO and yuaA genes in Bacillus subtilis and related genes in other bacteria.
Source: Rfam by way of RNAcentral
AUAUUGAGUUAGCCGAAACUUUGAAAGUAAAGUGCGGGGGAUGAUUUAAAGUUCAUUGCGCGAUAAGAAUGGACAAGCGUAAGAGCUAGGGGUGAAUCGUAUAGACGACGAUGGGUUGUUUCCUCAAUCCAAACCCGACAACUAACCUCGUAGGUGAUUAAAAGGAGGAACU